GGCAGGCUAGAGUGCGGUAGGGGAGAUGGGAAUUCCUGGUGUAGCGGUGGAAUGCGCAGAUAUCAGGAGGAACACCAAUGGCGAAGGCACAUCUCUGGGCCGUAACUGACG
Molecule: ribosomal RNA, 111 nt
Filed under: uncultured bacterium
Lineage: Bacteria
Description: partial 16S ribosomal RNA
Rfam family: Bacterial small subunit ribosomal RNA
Source: RNAcentral